This 5273-nucleotide long non-coding RNA is filed under the name Homo sapiens (human). RNAcentral's name for it is "non-protein coding GMDS-DT:114". Lineage: Eukaryota; Metazoa; Chordata; Mammalia; Primates; Hominidae. The record is from RNAcentral.
AUUUUCACAAUGCUUUUCUAUACAGUGUCUGUAAUCUAUAGAUAACAUAACCGAUUAAGUCAGGGGUUGAUCUUUAACUACCAGACACAGGGUGUGGUGCCGGGCUGUCUGCUUGUGGAUUUCAUUUCUGCCUUUUAGUUUUUACUUCUUUCUUUGGAGGCAGAAAUUAGGCAUAAGACAAUAUGAGGGGUGGUCUCCCUUACUUCCAAUGCCAGUUGCAAACCCAGGUUUUUGUUUGUUUGUUUGUUUGUUUAACCUGUGCUUCUGACCAACUGGCUAUAAAUCAGCAUCCUAUGACUUCCUCUUUAGGUUCGCUUAGUUUGGUAGGGCAGCUCACAGAACUCAGGGAAACAUGUUUACUGGUUUAUCAUGAAGGAUAUUGCAAAGGAUACAGAUGAAGAGAUGUAUAGGGUGAAUUAUGGGAAGGGGCAUGGAGCUUCCAUGCCUUCCUUGAGUGCAUCACUCUCCAGGAACCUCCACGUUUUUAGGUGUCCAGAAGGAAGCUCCCUGAAGCCAGUCCUUUUGGGUUUUUAUGGAGGCUUCAUUAUGCAGGCAUGAUUGAGUAAAUCAUUGGCCAUUGGUGAUCAACUCAACCUUUAGUCCCUCUCCCCUCUGAAAGAUAGGGGGUGCUGAAAGUAGAAACCCUCUAAUCCUGCCUUGAUCUUUCUGGGGACCAGCCCGUCAUUCUGAAGCUACCUGGGGGCUGCCAGGCAUCAGUGAACUCAUUAGCAUACUAAAAGAGGAAUUACCUUGAGGAUUCCAAGGAUUUUAGGAGUUGUAUGCCAGAAAACCAAGAUGAAGGCCAAAUAUAUAUUUUAGAAUAUCACAAUCCACCCUGAUCUUUGAACCCAAAUACCUUAUAUCAAAAGGACAUACAAUUGAAAAGAUACUGCCAUAUUGCUAGCAUCCCAUUCAGUCAUUAAUAAUUACUCCAGUCCAUCAUCUCGUGUGACUGUCUUCCAGGGUGAAGCCACUCAGAUUUACAGGUUUCCAUCUAAUCUUGUCAGCUUCCAAAAGCAGGAGGAGUCUUGGCCAACACAUGCUUCACCCUUUCAGGCAGCUGACAUAAUUGAGCUAAGACAGGAUGUCCAGGAUGUCAUCUUUCAAGGUAUUAAAUCCAUUUGUUCAUUCUUUUACCCUCAGCUACUAUUCUUCCUUCUCUUCAUUUAUACCCAAACUUUUCCACCUCUGGAAGAGACAUUAGGUUCAGCUACUGUGCUUGUCUACACUGCAGGCAACAAUACUAGUCUAGCAGCAAGUUCCUUCCCUUCAGUUCAUUCCCAUUGACAUAGGAUAAGGUGAAACAGGUGCAAAACUGUGGAUGAUGAUGCAGGAUAUUUUCAUGACCCCUUUGUUGGAUUAAUGGCAGGGUGUCUCGUUUACUUAGCCUACCCCAUUCAACCCCUUGUGGGAGGGAGCCUGUGAGCAAACGGGCACAGGAACUGACUGGCUUCUGUGGUGCCAGCAAAAGCAAAUUCCACUUGCUUGGGUCUGCUGUGCUUCACCCCUCAUGGGAGGACGCAUGCAGGUGAGCAAGUGCAGAAACCAGCUGCUUUAGUGCCAGCAGGAGUGAACUCUGUGCAGGCCCCAUGGCAGCAUCUAGCUGGAGGUGGCUGCGACCCCAAGGCCCCAGAGGGCGUGUUACAAUGCUCUCUUAGCUCCAUUGUCUGAAGACAGCAGUGUGUUAUCAGCUCAGUGGGCCCUUUGCCUCAUUUUGUGGGGUGGCUGCCCUCCACCAGCAAGGGCAAAGGGCCAGUGUGACAGCCUUUUUGGGUACCUGCACCUGGUGAGUCCCAAAUUCUUAUCUGGUGCCCAAGAGGAAUAAGGUCCCGCAGACGAAUUGAAGGAUGGUGAAUGUGGAGCAUUUUAUUGAGUAAUGAAAGUGGCUCUCAGAGGAGAGGGGAGCUGGAAAGAGGAUGGGAAGGGCAGGUCGCUGUCCCCUGAAGUCAAGCUGCCUCUCUACCUCUCUCUUCCAAAGUUAAGUUGCCUCAUCCAGCCACCAUCUCUGAAGUCGAAGUUGCCUCUCCCCAGUGUCCAGCUGCUUCUUCUGAUGUCCAGCCACUUCUUCUCUCUGUCAGCUGAGUAUGGGUUCUUUAUAGGCACAGGAUGGGAUCAAGGGGGCUGUAGGUAGUUUUGGAAAAGGCAACAUUCAAUUGGUAAAAAGACAUUACUCAGAACCAAUCAGGAGAGAGUGGGCUAACAGAAAUGGAAGUUCUCACUUUGGGCCGUGGGUUUCAGGCUUUUUGUCUCGAAGGUGGGGUUUUGCCAGAGACCUACCCCAUUUGUCUAGAAUUUCUGUGCCUUCUGUUGCUAACACUGUUUUUACCACCAGGCCAUAUAGUUGCAUUUACUGCUAACCCCAAUUAUGCUAGAUGGAGUGAAGUACAACCCACUUCUAUCAGGCCCUUAGGAAUUCUAGCAUAAGAUUUCUUAGGAAUUAUACCUACUUCCAGCACUUGUAGUCGUAGCCCUGGUCCUGUGACCACUGCAUCAGGUAGGGAGAUAAAAGUUGAGGUAAUACAUGGAGAAAAGGAAAAAAGUAGGAUCAUUAUACCAGCAUAUUCCCCCCUUGGCAAGAAUCGCAUAGUCAUACCUGCAUACUCUCCAAUCCCUCUUCCUCAGAUGCACCAGAAAAAUGGAGAAUUUUAGAUCCUUUAGUUCCACUAGUGUUGAGUGUGAGCACACAGUCAUGAAGGUGUGUAAUCCAAUCUUUAUGCUUUUAAAUAGUGGUUUUAAAUCAAUGUUUUAAUUGCCUGUUCUACUUCCCUAUCAAACCAUUACUCUAAGGAGAAUAUCUCUCUGCCUAUUGCUGGACAUUACAGGCUGUACAGUGUGUUCCUUAGUCUGAAGAAAUGAUAUUGGCCAAUAAAUCCAUGCAAUAUCUUAUUUUCUGGUUUAUAUCUAUAUCUCCUUUUUCCCAGAUAUGAACCACAAUUCUUAAGGUUACUGGUAAAUACAAUUAGCGUAUUACAUAAUUGUUUAUUUCCUUUAACCCACACAACAUGCAAUAGUUUCAGAAUAACAGUACUAAAUGCAACCAACAAUAUGAUUACUGAAAAUAGUUUUGAUCUUUUUGUUUUUCAUCUCUUUUGUGCUGCAAUGAUAUCACUGUGUUUUAAACUCACUUGGAAUAGUUAGCCUCUAUGUUUAUGCCUCCAACUAAGUAUACAAUUAAGUUAAUUUGUUAUGUUUUAUUCUCAAUUUGUAGAUGUCUUUUAAAAAAUUAUCUUUUGUUUUACAAUAAGGUAGGAAAUUCACAUGGCUCCAAAGUCAAACAUACCAAGCAGUUUGUAGUAAGCACAAUCACAUCUCCCUAACGAUGUUUACCUCCUAAACCAGAUGUGUGGUGCAAGAAAAGGGUCCAAUUUCAUUCUUUUGCACGUGGAUAUUUGGUUAUCCCAACACCACUUAUUGAAGAGACUCUCUUUUCUUCAUUUUGUCUUCUUGGUGCUCUUGUCAAAAAUUUGUUGAAUGUAUAUAGAUGGUUAAUUUUGGGCUCUCUAUUCGGUUCCAUUGGUCUGUUUCACAGUAUCAUACUGUUUUGAUUAAUGUAGCUUUACAUGUUUUGAAGUCAGAAAGUGUAAGGCCUCCAGCUUUGUUGUUUCUCAAGAUUGCUUUGUCUAUUUGGGUUCAGCUAUUGUUUGUCUAAAUUUUAUGGUUCCAUAUACAUUUUAGGAUUCUUUUUCUACUUCUGCCAAAAAAUGUGACUGGUAUUUUUAUAAGGAUUACUUUGAAUCUGUAGGUCACUUUGGGUAAUGUGGACAUCUUAACAAUGUUAAGUACAUUCCAUGUACAUAUGGUGUCUUUUCAUUUAUUUAUGCCUUCUUUAAUUUUUUUAAUCAAUAGUCUAUAGUUUUCAGGGCAUAAGUCUUCACCUCCUUGUUUGAACUUAUUCUUUAGUAUUUUACUCUUUUGAAUGCCAUUGUAAAUGAGAUUGUUUUCUUAAUUUAUGUUUGCUUUGAUUUUUUGUAGUGUAUAGAAAUGUGACUGAUUUUUGUAUCUUAAUCCCACAACUUGGAUUUAGGUAGUUUUAUCCUGAAACUUUGCUGAGUUAAUUUUUCAAUUCUAACAGUUUUUGUGUGGCAUUGUUUUGGUUUUCUACUUAUAACAUUAUGACAUCUGUGAACAAAGAUAAUGUGACUUCUUCCUUUCAGAUUUGGAUGACUUUUAUUUUUUAUCUUGCCUAAUUGCUCUAGCUACGACUUCUAGAACUAUGUUGAAUAAAAGUAGUGACAGUAGGUAUCCUUGCCUUUUACCUGAUCUUGAGAAAAAGCUUUUAGCUUUUAGCUAUCGAGUAUGAUAUUAGCUAUGGACUUUUCAUUUCCUUUGUUAUUGGAAAGUAAUUUCCUUCUAUUCCUAGUUUGUUGAGUGUUUUUGUCAUGAAAGAGUGUUGAACAUUCUCAAAUGCUCUUUCUGCAUCUAUGGAAAUCACCAUGUCAUUUUUAUUCUUUGUUAUGUUAAUGUGGUAUGUCAUUAUGAUUGAUUUUUGUAUGUUGAACUGUCCUUUCAUUCCAGGAAAAAUUUCACUUUGCUAUGGUAUAUAGUGCCAUUAAUGUACUGCUAAAUUUGGUUUGCUAGGUGACAAUUUUUGCAUCUCUAUUCAGAUUGGUCUUGAAUUUUUUUUCUUGUAGCCUCUUUGUCUGCCUUUGGUAUCGGGGAAAUGUUGGCUUCAUAAAAUGAGUUUGAAAAUAUUCCCUUCUCUUCACUUUUUUUGGAAGAGUUUAAGAAGGAUUUGGCAUUAAUUAUUUAAAUUUUGAUGGAAUUAACUAGUGAAGCUAUCUGGUCAUGGGCUCUUCAUUGUUGGGAGGUGUUUGAUUGUGAUUCUAUCAUUUUACUAGUUUUAGGUCUGUUCAGAUUUUCUAUUUAUCAUGGUUCGGACUUGGUAGGUUGUAUGUUUCUAGGAAUUUAUUCGUUUAUUCUAGGUUACCGAUGUGUUGAUGUAUAAUUGUUCAUACUAGUGUUCUGUAAUACUUUUUAUUUCUGUGUUAUCUUUUUUAAUGUUUCCUCUUUCAUUUCUGAUUUUAUUUGAGUCUUCUGCAUUUUUCCUUUUUUUCUUUUUCUUUUUCUUUUUUUUUUUUUUUUUUUUUUUUUGAGACGGAGUCUCACUUUGUCACCCAGGCUGGAGUGCAGUGGUGUGAUCUUGGCUCACUGGAACUUCCAUCUCCAGGGUUCAAGUGAUUCUCCUGCCUCAGCCUCCCAAAUAGCUGGGAUUACAGCUGCACACUACCAUGCCUGACUAAUUUUGUAUUUUUAGUAGAGAUGAGGUUUCGCCA